GCCUCAAAUACAGCUCCAGUUCUUAUAAUACAGGAUAUUUUUAGCUGUGUUUUGUUAUAAUGGAGGAUAUUCUCCUCCAGCAGAUAGUAAGAGAGUCUUCUAACAGUGUUUAGUUUGUGUACUUGCCCCAAGAAUUAAUUUGGCUUGUUGUAUCUUAGUAUAGCUUGCAAUUCUUGUUUUUCAGGUUCCUCUGAUAUUUAGGCAUAGUCUUGCAGUUAGAGAACAAAAGUGAGAAGCAUGACAUCUAUUCCUGACUCAGUUACUUCCUAGAGAAAACAAAGGAGACAGAGAACAAGAUACCCACGUUUAGAGUCAAGCAAGAAGAACUUCCUCUGCUAAUGCCUGUGUAUGGAGAUAAAACCUGGAUGUGAAGGCACCACGAGGUCAUACCCAGCAUAACCAAUGGCCAGUGUACCAGGCUGAGUGUGGCAUUUUACCCAAAAUACUGCAGAGGAUUUGGGAGAAUGAGCUUUCUAAAUUGAAGCAGGGGUCCUGUGGGUUGAAAUAAACCCUGAUAAUACAGGCUUGAGCACUGUUAUAGCC
This 543-nucleotide long non-coding RNA is filed under the name Manacus vitellinus (golden-collared manakin). RNAcentral's name for it is "lncRNA (ENSMVIG00005001424.1)". The record is from RNAcentral. Lineage: Eukaryota; Metazoa; Chordata; Aves; Passeriformes; Pipridae.